GACGAACGCUGGCGGCGUGCUUAACACAUGCAAGUCGAACGCUGAAGCUCAGCUUGCUGGGUGGAUGAGUGGCGAACGGGUGAGUAACACGUGAGUAACCUGCCCUCUUCUUUGGGAUAACGCCCGGAAACGGGUGCUAAUACUGGAUAUUCACUGAUUCUCGCAUGGGGGUUGGUGGAAAGGUUUUUUCUGGUGGGGGAUGGGCUCGCGGCCUAUCAGCUUGUUGGUGGGGUGAUGGCCUACCAAGGCUUUGACGGGUAGCCGGCCUGAGAGGGUGACCGGUCACGUUGGCACUGGGCUACGGCCCAGACUCCUGCGGGAGGCAGCAGUGGGGGAUAUUGCACAAGGGGCGAAAGCCUGAUGCAGCGGCGCCGCGUGAGGGAUGGAGGCCUUCGGGUUGUAAACCUCUUUCGCUCAUGGUCAAGCCGCAGCUUUGGGUUGUGGUGAGGGUAGUGGGUAAAGAAGCGCCGGCUAACUACGUG
This 482-nucleotide ribosomal RNA is filed under the name uncultured bacterium. RNAcentral describes it as "partial 16S ribosomal RNA". It matches the Rfam family "Bacterial small subunit ribosomal RNA", at positions 28 to 507 of the family's 1533-position model. The record is from RNAcentral.